AAUUCUCAAUUCCUUCAAAUUUAUUUUUGAAGGGCAUUUGGAUAAUGGAAGUUUUGCAGGCUUCUUUUUCAUAGUCUGCUCUUCUUAAAUGCAUUAGCAAGGACUUUGUUUGACCUUGGUUUUGAUAAUUCAUCUAUGCCAAUGGUUUCAAGUCAAGUUGUUUUGCUGCAAACACUUUAUAUC
RNAcentral lists this unclassified non-coding RNA (183 nucleotides) under uncultured Agaricales. Its description in RNAcentral is "sequence contains ITS2". Lineage: Eukaryota; Fungi; Basidiomycota; Agaricomycetes; Agaricales. The record is from RNAcentral.